GAUGAAGAACGUAGCGAAAUGCGAUAAGUAGUGUGAAUUGCAGCAUUCAGUGAAUCAUCGAAUCUUUGAACGCACAUUGCGCCCCAUGGUAUUCCGUGGGGCAUGCCUGUUCGAGCGUCAUUUACCCCCUCAAGCUCCGCUUGGUGUUGGGCGUCUGUCCCGCUUCGCGCGCGGACUCGCCCCAAAGGUAUUGGCAGCGGUCGUGCCAGCUUCUCGCGCAGCACAUUGCGCUUCUCGAGGCACCGGUGGGCCCGCGUCCAUCAAGCUCACCCCCCCAGUUUGACCUCGGAUCAGGUAGGGAUACCCGCUGAACUUAAGCAUAUCAAUAAGCGGAGGA
This 337-nucleotide unclassified non-coding RNA is filed under the name soil metagenome. RNAcentral's name for it is "partial contains 5.8S ribosomal RNA, internal transcribed spacer 2, and large subunit ribosomal RNA". The stretch from base 1 to 120 matches the Rfam family "5.8S ribosomal RNA", at positions 35 to 154 of the family's 154-position model. The record is from RNAcentral.